Molecule: ribosomal RNA, 463 nt
Filed under: uncultured bacterium
Lineage: Bacteria
Description: partial 16S ribosomal RNA
Rfam family: Bacterial small subunit ribosomal RNA
Source: RNAcentral
GACGAACGCUGGCGGCGUGCUUAACACAUGCGAGUCGAACGGAAAGGCCUUUUCGGAGGUACUCGAGUGGCGAACGGGUGAGUAACACGUGGGUGAUCUGCCCUGCACUCUGGGAUAAGCCUGGGAAACUGGGUCUAAUACCGGAUAGGACCGCACUUUAGUGUGUGUGGUGGAAAGUUUUUUCGGUGUAGGAUGAGCCCGCGGCCUAUCAGCUUGUUGGUGGGGUAAUGGCCUACCAAGGCGGCGACGGGUAGCCGGACUGAGAGGUUGGUCGGCCACAUUGGGACUGAGAUACGGCCCAGACUCCUACGGGAGGCAGCAGUGGGGAAUAUUGCACAAUGGGCGCAAGCCUGAUGCAGCGACGCCGCGUGGGGGAUGACGGCCUUCGGGUUGUAAACUCCUUUCGCCAGGGACGAAGCGUUUUGUGACGGUACCUGGAGAAGAAGCACCGGCUAACUACGUG